Molecule: ribosomal RNA, 461 nt
Filed under: Homalotheciella subcapillata
Lineage: Eukaryota; Viridiplantae; Streptophyta; Bryopsida; Hypnales; Brachytheciaceae
Description: eukaryotic LSU rRNA
Rfam family: 5.8S ribosomal RNA (bases 1-125)
Source: RNAcentral
UGCAUCGAUGAAGAACGCAGCGAAAUGCGAUACGUAGUGUGAAUUGCAGAAUUCCGCGAAUCAUCGAGUCUUUGAACGCAAGUUGCGCCCGAGGCUUGUCCGAGGGCAUUUCCGCUAGAGCGUCACCGCGCCCCCCCACCGAUCCAAACUCCCGCCGCRAGGCGYUAGUUGGCUAAGGGUCGAGUGGAAGUGGCCGUCCCGGCGCUAGUUGGCUAAGGGUCGGCUGAAAUGGACGGAAUCGGGCCGCCGUGGUGACACAGUCCGCGAUCGGGUGAUUUUUGUCGCGAGCCUCCUGCCUGCGGGAGGUUCGCCGUGAAUUUUUCUAAGUGCGUGACUGCGUCCCCCAGUUGGCCUUGGUUACCUCACGCAGGUCGAGCGCGCCCCCGCGGCGCGCGUCACGCAUCAGACCUCUAAUCGGAAAAGACUACCCGCUGAGUUUAAGCAUAUCAAUAAGCGGAGGA